AGAUUUUGAUCAUGGCUCAAAACAAACGCUGGCGGCGUGCCUAAUACAUGCAAGUCGAACGGGGUAGCAAUACCCAGGGGCGCACGGGUGAGGAACGCGGGGAUAAUCUGCCCUCGAGUUGGGAAUAACUAGUCAAAAGAUUAGCUAAUACCGAAUAAAACCACGGUCUCUGCGGAAACAGAGGUUAAAGGAGCAUUUCGCUUGAGGAUGAGUCCGCGUAAAAUUAGCUAGUUGGUGAGGUAAUGGCUCACCAAGGUUAUGAUCUUUAACUGGUCUGAGAGGAUGAUCAGUCACACUGGAACUGAAACACGGUCCAAACUCCUACGGGAGGCAGCAGUAGGGAAUAUUGCGCAAUGGGGGAAACCCUGACGCACCGACCCCGCGUGAGUGAUGAAGGCCUUCGGGUUGUAAAGCUCUUUUGCAGGGAAAUAAGAAAGUGAAUGUACUCUGCAAAUAAGGAUCGGCUAACUUCGUG
RNAcentral lists this ribosomal RNA (475 nucleotides) under uncultured bacterium. Its description in RNAcentral is "bacterial SSU rRNA". It matches the Rfam family "Bacterial small subunit ribosomal RNA", at positions 8 to 507 of the family's 1533-position model. The record is from RNAcentral.